AGAGUUCGAUCAUGGCUCAGAUUGAACGCUGGCGGUAGGCUUAACACAUGCAAGUCGUGCGAGAAAGUAUCUUCGGAUAUGAGUAGAGCGGCGGACGGGUGAGUAACGCGUAGGAAUCUACCUAGUAGAAGGGGAUAGCCCGGGGAAACUCGGAUUAAUACCGUAUACCUCCUUCGGGAGAAAGAAGGCCUCUCUUUGAAGCUUUCGCUACUAGAUGAGCCUGCGUAAGAUUAGCUUGUUGGUGAGGUAAAGGCUCACCAAGGCGACGAUCUUUAGCGGGUCUGAGAGGACGAUCCGCCACAUUGGGACUGAGACACGGCCCAGACUCCUACGGGAGGCAGCAGUGGGGAAUAUUGGACAAUGGGCGCAAGCCUGAUCCAGCCAUACCGCGUGUGUGAAGAAGGCCCUAGGGUUGUAAAGCACUUUAAGUUGGGAAGAAAAGUUAUUGGUUAAUACCCAAUGACCGUGACAUUACCAUCAGAAUAAGGACCGGCUAAUUCCGUGCCAGCCGCCGCGGUAAUAC
This 523-nucleotide ribosomal RNA is filed under the name uncultured bacterium. Its description in RNAcentral is "bacterial SSU rRNA". It matches the Rfam family "Bacterial small subunit ribosomal RNA", at positions 8 to 526 of the family's 1533-position model. The record is from RNAcentral.